Molecule: transfer RNA, 82 nt
Filed under: Vibrio parahaemolyticus AQ4037
Lineage: Bacteria; Pseudomonadati; Pseudomonadota; Gammaproteobacteria; Vibrionales; Vibrionaceae
Description: tRNA-Leu
Rfam family: tRNA
About the family: Transfer RNA (tRNA) molecules are approximately 80 nucleotides in length.
Source: RNAcentral
GAAGUGGCGGAAUUGGUAGACGCACCAGAUUUAGGUUCUGGCGCCGUAAGGUGUGAGAGUUCAAGUCUCUCCUUCCGCACCA